Long non-coding RNA from Coffea arabica (coffee), 1614 nucleotides. RefSeq lists it as uncharacterized. NCBI's taxonomy places the organism in Eukaryota, Viridiplantae, Streptophyta, Magnoliopsida, Gentianales, Rubiaceae. The record is from RefSeq and is a predicted model, not a curated record.
ACUUUUCAUUUUGCACACGUUCACACCACACUUCACACACACAUCACGAUUCAUUCAUUCGAAAAGUGGGGCGCGACAUUCAGCCAUAUGUAUUUCGCUAUUUCCAACAAAUAGUAGGUAAUUAAUUAGUUAAUGUUGAGUCGUUAGUUUCAUACAAUAAAGGUUAAGAUCAUGUUGACUAUAGUUAAGCCAAUUUGAGUUAGUUAAUUUAUUAUUCUAGUGGAAUUAGAGUUUUAGGAAAGUAGUUAAUUGUUUUCAAGUUGUUUUAAAUCUUUGAGUCUUGUAAAAAGUUAUAAAUAAGCCUCAAGUGUCAACGAUUUUUAUAGUCAAGUCAGAUGAUAAAUAAAAUUUGAGAGUUUUCUCUUUCUUGUUCCUUGGGAACGUUCGUUGAUCCAAAGUGAGACAUGUCUCCUUUGUUCAAGUUUUGACUUAUCAAUUCAAGACCACAUUUAAUUGUGGUGACGUUCUACUAAUAAGUCUUGGUUCGCUAAUUCGUUAAGUUGUGAGUCACAAUUAAAUUCAAGAUUCAAAACUUCAGGGAUUAGAGGGGUCGAGGUUUUUUAUCGACUUUGUUCUAUAAUUUAAUCAAGAUAGAUCCUUCCGCUGCCUAUGCAAUUCAUUUUUUCAAGAGCGAAAAUUUGGGGAAUCUGGUUCGCAUCAUACUCCCAUACUCAUAUUCAGCUAUACGUUUGCUACUACGCUACAUGCAUCAUUUCAAUCGAAAAAUGAGUUUGAGGAUGACCUUACUCAUAUCUACAACUUUCUAGGGAUCUGGAUGGGCUUUUCACCUGUUUUUCAGAUGAAAAUCGACCGUGUUCCCGUUCAUGUUCCUUUCUUGACGUUUAAAGAUCGUUGUUGCCUUAGAUACAGUCAGACUCCCAUGGUUAAUCCCUCGAUUGAGGAUGAGGAAGACCAAAUGCUUGAAGGAGUGCAUGCACUAUCUUGGAGGUCCGAACGGCUACAACUGCAGCAAGAUCUACCACACGAGACGGUACUUGGAAAUGUGACUGCUCUACCACUUCGCACGAUAGGAACAAGGGCACGUUGGAAUUGAGGUAAAUUACCAACGUUGGAUCGAGAUGGAUUCAAUUCAAACUUAUUAGUGCUUGACUCAACAGCAAUUUGGGAAGUGGAAGAGCAUCAAAUGCAAGUAUUAUUGGUGAAAUGCAUGAACAAGCACUUGGACAUCUUGCAUGUGAUGAUAGUGAUCAACUGGAGCAGAAAAGAAGCAAGAAAAUGUACCUGAAAGCCAUACGGGACCUCGAAUAUGUGGGCUUAGGUCACGUAUUGUGCCUUUUUUUUUGUAACUUGUUAUGCAAUUUGCUCUGUUUUUACACUGCUUUUCAACUCAAUUUUAGCUCAAAAUUUUGGCUGCACAUGCUCAAGAUUCCUUAGGAAAAAAAAUGAGGUUUAUGUCAUAUCAUUUUUCACUUUUUGACUUUCCUAAUAUUAUAUAUGUAAGAAUCAUUAUAUGCGGUUCUUGGAAAUUCUUGCUAUUUCUUGGUAGAAAUUAGUUGUAGUAUUUUCUUGUUUCUUUAGCUAGAAACUUAUAAGAAAAUUUUGAAAAACUCAUUGUAUCACUCAUUUUGUUGUAAAAAAUAGAAGAUUGGAAUC